GUGAGGAACAACACGAAUGUACCAAGGACUGGAACCGUUCGAAUUUUCAUGGCACCACGUCUCAACGAGCAUAACGAACAAUUUCCAAUGGUUCAACAACGCAGACUUUUCUUCCAACUUGAUAAGUUUACUACUCAAUUGAGUCCCGGAGUCAAUGAAAUUACUCGGAGAUCUUCCGAGUCCAGUGUAACAAUCCCUUGGGAGCAAACUUUCCGAGAUUUGGAAAGGUCGUGCAGACUCCGGCUGCAUAUGAGCAAACAUUCUGUGGGUGUGGAUGGCCUGAACACAUGGUGAUCCCAAGAGGGACAGCAACUGGACAGUUGUACGACGUUGUGGUCUUCAUUACGGAUGGCAACGAGGAUCGCGUCGAACUACCAGCGACUUCUCAACCUGCCAGAUCCAAUAAUUGCAGGCAUAAGAAUAAUUAUUCUUGGUGGUAUUUUGAAGAAAUAUAAAACUCAACAAUCUGUAAAAUUUCAU
Folsomia candida is the source of this 480-nucleotide long non-coding RNA. RefSeq lists it as uncharacterized. Lineage: Eukaryota; Metazoa; Arthropoda; Collembola; Entomobryomorpha; Isotomidae. The record is from RefSeq and is a predicted model, not a curated record. The transcript is spliced from 4 exons.